AGAUAGAAAAUAGGUGCCCGUACCGCAAACCGACACAGGUAGUCAAGAUGAGAAUUCUAAGGUGAGCGAGCGAACUCUCGUUAAGGAACUCGGCAAAAUGACCCCGUAACUUCGGGAGAAGGGGUGCUCUUUAGGGUUAACGCCCAGAAGAGCCGCAGUGAAUAGGCCCAAGCGACUGUUUAUCAAAAACACAGGUCUCUGCUAAACCGUAAGGUGAUGUAUAGGGGCUGACGCCUGCCCGGUGCUGGAAGGUUAAGAGGAGUGGUUAGCUUCUGCGAAGCUACGAAUCGAAGCCCCAGUAAACGGCGGCCGUAACUAUAACGGUCCUAAGGUAGCGAAAUUCCUUGUCGGGUAAGUUCCGACCCGCACGAAAGGCGUAACGAUUUGGGCACUGUCUCAACGAGAGACUCGGUGAAAUCAUAGUACCUGUGAAGAUGCAGGUUACCCGCGACAGGACGGAAAGACCCCGUGGAGCUUUACUGUAGCCUGAUAUUGAAAUUCGGCACAGCUUGUACAGGAUAGGUAGGAGCCUUUGAAACGUGAGCGCUAGCUUACGUGGAGGCGCUGGUGGGAUACUACCCUAGCUGUGUUGGCUUUCUAACCCGCACCACUUAUCGUGGUGGGAGACAGUGUCAGGCGGGCAGUUUGACUGGGGCGGUCGCCUCCUAAAAGGUAACGGAGGCGCUCAAAGGUUCCCUCAGAAUGGUUGGAAAUCAUUCAUAGAGUGUAAAGGCAUAAGGGAGCUUGACUGCGAGACCUACAAGUCGAGCAGGGUCGAAAGACGGACUUAGUGAUCCGGUGGUUCCGCAUGGAAGGGCCAUCGCUCAACGGAUAAAAGCUACCCCGGGGAUAACAGGCUUAUCUCCCCCAAGAGUUCACAUCGACGGGGAGGUUUGGCACCUCGAUGUCGGCUCAUCGCAUCCUGGGGCUGUAGUCGGUCCCAAGGGUUGGGCUGUUCGCCCAUUAAAGCGGUACGCGAGCUGGGUUCAGAACGUCGUGAGACAGUUCGGUCCCUAUCCGUCGUGGGCGUAGGAAAUUUGAGAGGAGCUGUCCUUAGUACGAGAGGACCGGGAUGGACAUACCUCUGGUGUACCAGUUGUCGUGCCAACGGCAUAGCUGGGUAGCUAUGUGUGGACGGGAUAAGUGCUGAAAGCAUCUAAGCAUGAAGCCCCCCUCAAGAUGAGAUUUCCCAACUUCGGUUAUAAGAUCCCUCAAAGAUGAUGAGGUUAAUAGGUUCGAGGUGGAAGCAUGGUGACAUGUGGA
This 1263-nucleotide ribosomal RNA is filed under the name Staphylococcus aureus. RNAcentral describes it as "partial 23S ribosomal RNA". It matches the Rfam family "Bacterial large subunit ribosomal RNA", at positions 1625 to 2889 of the family's 2925-position model. The record is from RNAcentral. Lineage: Bacteria; Bacillati; Bacillota; Bacilli; Caryophanales; Staphylococcaceae.